RNAcentral lists this small nucleolar RNA (61 nucleotides) under Euglena gracilis. RNAcentral's name for it is "Eg-m159 box C/D methylation-guide". The record is from RNAcentral. Lineage: Eukaryota; Euglenozoa; Euglenophyceae; Euglenales; Euglenaceae.
GUGAUGAUGUGAUUUAUAUGUCCAGAAUGAAAUGAUGAGAUUCUCAGCCGUCGCACUGAAA